AAUGGAAAAAGGGUUUGCACGCGUUUGGCUCCCUUUUCCAACUCCUUUCUUAGUCAUCAGCAAAAUGCCCUGGCCUCCACCCAAGAAAGCAAACCCUAGCCUCCACCAAUCUUGUCGCCGUGUGUCGGAGUGAGAGACUGCUGCUGCCGCUUCCGUCGCACUCAAGAACUUCCGCCUUGGUGCUAUCGUCGUUCGUUUCUUCGCUCUCACCAUCUCCUGUUCGCUCUCAUCAGUCACCUGUUCGCUCUCCAUCCCCUGUUCGCUGUCAUCAGUCGCCUGUUCGCCAUCGUCCGUUGUGCUCAACCGCUCUCUGUCGUCCGUUGCGCUCAACCGCUCUCCGUCGUCCGUCAAAGGUAACCUACUUUAAUUAGGUGUUGAAACUUCCAUCCAUGACCAGCACGUGUCAACAGGAUGAAUUGGUUGGAUGAAUUAAUGAAAAAUCAGACCGGUGAAACACGGGCGUUGAAAAGGAGAAUGCAUCCAUUCAACAUGAGUUGGGGUUGUGACACGUGGACUGCUGAAACCGGGAUUUAGGAUAUUAACUUAGGAUUCACACACACGCAUCCAUCCACAAUUCCACAUUAUAAAGUUCUUAAACCAGAUCCCAGUCUUAGCUGGAAACUAAAUCUGCCAAUCCGGUGCAUCAUUUUACAAAAAUAUUAUUUGUACACUAAAGUAGCUACUAAAAUCAAUCAACAAUGUAUUUAUGUAUA
Arachis duranensis is the source of this 713-nucleotide long non-coding RNA. RefSeq lists it as uncharacterized. The record is from RefSeq and is a predicted model, not a curated record. NCBI's taxonomy places the organism in Eukaryota, Viridiplantae, Streptophyta, Magnoliopsida, Fabales, Fabaceae. The transcript is spliced from 3 exons.